Molecule: ribosomal RNA, 111 nt
Filed under: Neogale vison (American mink)
Lineage: Eukaryota; Metazoa; Chordata; Mammalia; Carnivora; Mustelidae
Source: RNAcentral
GUCUACGGCCAUACCACCCUGAAUGUGCCCGAUCUUGUCUGAUCUCGGAAGCUAAGCAGGGUCAGGCCUGGUUAGUACUUGGAUGGGAGAAAGUACCAUGUAUUGAGGAAA